CCUAGACUGGCUGAGCAACAUAUUUUCAGGCAGGCCUUCAGGCAACAUGCAUGGGUAAUAACUGUAGAAUAAAGCAAUUUAAAAUGGUUGAUCUGUGCUGGUACAAAGCUUCCACAACAGCGUACAAUAUAACACUAUGAUAUGUUAUAAAAGUAAUUUUAAGCAUAAUAUGUAUAUAUAUGUAUUUUAAUAACAAUAUAAACGUUUUUUUCAACAAAGUAUACGCAUUAGCUUACCAUGGAAAAUGAUUAAUGAAAAUCUUUUAUUUCCUGUACAAG
Long non-coding RNA from Gadus macrocephalus (Pacific cod), 278 nucleotides. RefSeq lists it as uncharacterized. The record is from RefSeq and is a predicted model, not a curated record. The transcript is spliced from 2 exons. NCBI's taxonomy places the organism in Eukaryota, Metazoa, Chordata, Actinopteri, Gadiformes, Gadidae.